UUUUACCCCUCAUGAAGUUGCAGAGCAUGAGUCUAGGUCUGUGCAGGUGAAUUAAAACAUCCCAAGUCCGCUCAGGAUCACUAUCCUCGGGUGAAUUAUCAUGAUGAUAUCAUGAUUUUUAAAAUAAGCUCAGGCCAAGAUCUUAGGCCUUAUCAUAGCCAGAUGACUGGGAAGGGUGGAGAUUAAUUGAUGUAUUUGAGCUGAAAAUGACACUUGCGGCCAUCCAGUCUGCCAGCUUUCAGGCUGUUUGGGGGACAUCUAUUCACAGAAUCCCAAUUUUUAGACAAAGAAAAUGGAAUUCUGUAGGUAAACCAGGAGCGAGGCCAGGAAUCUCACCUGCUCCUCAACCCCUCCCUAUGAAGCAGAAGGGCAGUGCCUGGGGAAGCUGUCUCUAGACACACAGUGGUAGCCAUCGUAAUAAUAGUCAGUGUGUGCUUCCUGUUUGCCAGCACGAUGCAGAUUAUUCGAUACCCUUAGUUUAUCUCAUUCACAAAUCCUUGUGAGAUCUUAUUUUUAUCUCAAAUUUAUGAAGAAACUGAAAGCAUAAAUAAAAAUGCCAAGUAACGCAAGGAGGGGCUCAGCUGGGAUUCGCACUCACUAUCAGGUGACGCCACCUUGUUUUUUAGUGAAGAAGCGGAGCCCAGAUUGGGUGGCUUGUCAAGGUGCGUUGUGAUCCAGUUAGUGGUGGAACUCAGCCCGCAAUGACUUCCUCAUGUCGCCAUCUUGCAAGGUUCUUCCAGCCUCUCCUUCGCCAAGGAACCGGCCUGUGCUUGUGCCUGCUCUAUGUCCUUCGUCCGGCUGAAUCCUGCAGUGCUGUGUUUGCUGUGUGGUCUGGAGACCGUAUUCCCAUGCAUUUGUGUGUUGUUACAGAUAUGUGUUCAUCAAGUUUUCUACUACUUUCUAGGCCAGCUGCAUAUCACUUGUUCCCAUUCGAUGCUUUGAACUGCAGAAGUUUCACUUCAUAAGAACACUCUGCGGUAAGUGGUUUUGUGCAGUUGAUCCACUGAGCAGGUAAGCACUGAUUUUAUAACACUGGUGUUUUAGAGGUUUUUUGCAGAGUUUUCUUCUUCUGAUGAUGUGAAUGUUGUUCAUGAGCCACAGGAUAUCCUAGCUGUAGGAGGGCAAGAGACUUGAAAAAUCUCAUGUGUAUAUGUCACUAUUGGCAAACAGCAUUUCAUAGUGGCAAUAGGAGGGUCCCAAUUUUUGUUUAGCUUCAUGCCUGGGAAGAAGCAAUAGUAAAGCAACCUUUGGCCAAAGGAAAAGUUAUAAGGUCCACAGAACAUGUCAAAAGUCAAGGGCAAGAAGUCUCAUAGUUUCUUAUAAAAUUAAACCUAUACCUUUUCCAUAAUUCACUAAAGCCACUGGUUUAUUUACACAAGAUAAAUUAACUUGAGUAUUUAUUCAAAAUAAAUAAAAAUGUAUGUCCACCAAAAUGCUUUUACAAGAAUGCCCAUAGUAACUAACUUUUAUUCAUAGUAACCCAAGAUGGGAAAUUUCCAUCAACAGAAGAAUGGAUAAAUAAAUUAUGUUAUAUUUACAUAAUGGCUUACUUACUACUCAAAUAUAAAAGGAAACAAACUGUAGCUAUAUGUAAUAUCAUGGGUGACUUUUACAGCAAUGAUGUGUGUGAAAGAAACCAGAUGCAAAUGAGUACAUAUGGUAUGAUUCCAUUUAUGUAAAGUUCUAAACCACACAAAACCAAUCCUUAAGGAUAAAAAUCAGAUGAGUAUCGCCUCUGGUGGGGAGGGGAAGGAUUGACUGAGAAACAGCAUGAAGGAACUUUCUAGGGUGAGGGAACUGUUCUAUAUCUUCAUAGAGUGUGGGAAACAUGGGAUUUAUAUUUGUCAAAACUCAUCAAAACCUCUUGUGACAAAAAUUCUAGAUUUUGCAUUUCACGCAACAUAAAAUGUACCUCAAAAAUUAACAAAAUCAGGGGAAGGAUACAAGAUGGCUGAAUAGGAACAGCUCUGGAGUGCAGUUCCCAGCAAGAACAACGCAGAGGGACAGAGCACCUGGGAAAGGAGGCGGUUAUGAGUUCUGCUGCAGCAGACAUAAAAGUACCUGCUCAGCAGCUCUGCAAAGAACAAUGGAGCUCCCAGCACAGCACUCGAGCUCCUAUAAGGGACAGACUAUCUCCUCAAGCAGCUCCCCAACCCCCAUAUACACAAAGAGACACCUCAUAAAGGAGAGCUCAGGCUGACAUCUGGUAGGUACCCUUGUGGGACAAAGAUAACAGAAGAAGAAACCAGCAGCAACCCUUACUGUUCUGCAGCCCCCACAGGUGAUCCCCAGGUAAACAGGGUCUGGAGUGGACCUCCAGCAGUCCUGCAGCAGAGGGGCCUGAUUGUUAGAAGGAAAACUAAGAAACAGAAAGAAAUAACUUAAUCAUCAACAAAAAGGACAUCUACUCAGAGACCCCAUCCAAAAGUCACCAACUACAAAGACCACAGGUAGAUAAAGCCACUAAGAUGAAAAGAAACCAGCACAAAAAUGAUGAAAACACCAAAAACCAGAAUACCUUUCCUCCUCCAAAGGAUCCCAACUCCUCACCAGCUAGGGAUCAGAGAUGGAUGGAGAAUGAAUCUGAUGAAUUGACAGAAACAGUCUUCAGAAGGUGGGUAAUAACAAACUUCUCAGAGCUAAAAGAACAUGUGCAAACCCAAUGCAAAGAAACUAGGAACCUAGAAAAAAAGGUUAAAUGAGAUGCUAACUAGAAUAAGCAGCUUAGAGAAGAAUAUAAACCACUUGAUGGAGCUGAAAAACACAGCAUGAGAACUUUGUGAAGCAUACACAAGUGUCAGUAGCCAAAUUGACCAAGCAGAAGAAAGGAUAUCAGAUACUGAAGAUCAACUCAAUGAAAUAAAAUUAGAAGGCAAGAAUAGAGAAAAAAAGAGUGAAAAGAAAUGAACAAAGCCUCCAAGCAAUAUGUGAUUAUGUGAAAAUACCUAAUUUACUUUUGAUAGGUAUACCUGAAUGUGAUGGAGAGAAUGAAUCCAAGCUGGAAAACACUCUUCAGGAUAUUAUCCAGGAGAACUUUCCCAAGCUAGCAAGCCAGGCCACCAUUCAAGUCCAGGAAAAACAGAAAACACCACAAAGAUAUUCCUCAAGAAGAGCAACCCCAAGGCACAUAAUCAUUGAAUUCACCAGGGUUGAAAUGAAGGAAAAAAUGCUAAGGGCAGCCAGAGAGAAAGAUUGGGUUACCCACAAAGGGAAGCCCAUCAGAUUCACAGUGGAUCUCUCCACAGAAACCCUACAAGUGAGAAGAGUGGGGGACCAAUAUUUUACAUCCUUAAAGAAAAAACUUUCAACCUAGAAUUUCAUAUCCAGCCAAACUAAGCUUCAUAAGCAAAGGAGAAAGAAAAUUCUUUAUGGACAAGCAAUUGCUGAGAGAUUUUGUCGCCACCAGCUGUGCCUUACAAGAGCUCCUGAAAGAAGCACUAAACAAGGAAAGGAACAGCCAGUCCCAACCACUCCAAAAAUGUACCAAAUGGUAAAGACCAUCGAUAUAAUGAAAAAAAAAUGCAUCAACUAAUGGGCAAAACAUCCAGCUAACAUCAAAAUGGCAGGAUCAAAUUCACACAUAACAAUAUUAGCCUUAAAUGUAAAUGGGCUAAAUGACCCAGUGAAAAGACAGACUGGCAAACUGAAUAAAAAGUCAAGACCCAUCGGUGUGCUGUAUGCAGGAAACCCAUCUCACAUGCAAGGACACACAUAGGCUCAAAAUAAAGGGAUGGAGGAAGAUUUGUCAAGCAAAUGGAGAGUGCAAAAAUAAGCAAUCCUAGUUGCAAUCCUAGUCUCUGAUAAAAUGGAUUUUAAACCAACAAAGAUCAAAAGAGAUAAAGAAGGACAUGACAUAAUGAUAAAAGGAUCAAUGCAUUCUUUUGCAUUUGCUGAGGAGUGAUUUGAAAAGCUAACCAUCCUAGAUAUAUACUUACCCAAUACCGGAGCACCCAGGUACAUAAAGCAAGUUCUUAAUGACCUACAAAGUGACUUAGACUCCCACACAAAAUAGUUGGAGACCUUAACACUCCACUGUCAAUAUUAGACAGAUCAACGAGACAGAAAAUUAACAAGCAUAUAGAGGACUUGAACUUGGAUCUGGACCAAGCAAACCUAAUAGACAUCUACAGAAAUCUCAACCCCAAAUCCAAAGAAUAUGCAUUCUUCUCAGCACCACAUGGCACCUACUCUAAAACUGACCACAUACUUGGAAGUAAAUCACUCCUCAGCCAAUGCAAAAGAAUGGAAAUCAUAACAAACAGUCUCUCAGACCACAGGGCAAUCAAAUUAGAAAUGUGAAUUAAGAAAUUAACUCAGAACCGCACAGCUUCAUGGAAAGUGAAAAACUGGCUCCUGAAUGUCGACUGGAUACACAAUG
This 4378-nucleotide long non-coding RNA is filed under the name Callithrix jacchus (white-tufted-ear marmoset). RNAcentral describes it as "lncRNA (ENSCJAG00000082180.1)". Lineage: Eukaryota; Metazoa; Chordata; Mammalia; Primates; Cebidae. The record is from RNAcentral.